Molecule: ribosomal RNA, 429 nt
Filed under: Pseudomonadota bacterium
Lineage: Bacteria; Pseudomonadati; Pseudomonadota
Description: Proteobacteria bacterium partial 16S ribosomal RNA
Rfam family: Bacterial small subunit ribosomal RNA
Source: RNAcentral
UGGGGAAUAUUGGACAAUGGGCGAAAGCCUGAUCCAGCCAUGCCGCGUGUGUGAAGAAGGCCUUCGGAUUGUAAAGCACUUUAAGUGGGGAGGAAGGGCAGUAAGCGAAUACCUUGCGGUUUUGAGGUUACGGACAGAAUAAGCACCGGCUAACUUGGUGCCAGCAGCCGCGGUAAUACAGAGGGUGCAAGCGUUAAUCGGAAUUACUGGGCGUAAAGCGCGCGUAGGUGGUUCGUUAAGUUGAAUGUGAAAGCCCCGGGCUCAACCUGGGAACUGCAUCCAAAACUGGCGAGCUAGAGUAGGGCAGAGGGUGGUGGAAUUUCCUGUGUAGCGGUGAAAUGCGUAGAUAUAGGAAGGAACACCAGUGGCGAAGGCGACCACCUGGGCUCAUACUGACACUGAGGUGCGAAAGCGUGGGGAGCAAACAGG